GCUGUGGCUCAGUUGUAGAGCAUCUGCGUGGCAUGGAGAGGGACCUGGGUUCAAUUCCUGGCUUCUCCA
Molecule: transfer RNA, 69 nt
Filed under: Sphaerodactylus townsendi
Lineage: Eukaryota; Metazoa; Chordata; Lepidosauria; Squamata; Sphaerodactylidae
Description: tRNA-Ala
Rfam family: tRNA
About the family: Transfer RNA (tRNA) molecules are approximately 80 nucleotides in length. Their secondary structure includes four short double-helical elements and three loops (D, anti-codon, and T loops). Further hydrogen bonds mediate the characteristic L-shaped molecular structure. tRNAs have two regions of fundamental functional importance: the anti-codon, which is responsible for specific mRNA codon recognition, and the 3' end, to which the tRNAs corresponding amino acid is attached (by aminoacyl-tRNA synthetases). tRNAs cope with the degeneracy of the genetic code in two manners: having more than one tRNA (with a specific anti-codon) for a particular amino acid; and 'wobble' base-pairing, i.e. permitting non-standard base-pairing at the 3rd anti-codon position.
Source: RNAcentral